AAAUUGAAGAGUUUGAUCAUGGCUCAGAUUGAACGCUGGCGGCAGGCCUAACACAUGCAAGUCGAGCGGUAGCACAGAGAGCUUGCUCUCGGGUGACGAGCGGCGGACGGGUGAGUAAUGUCUGGGAAACUGCCUGAUGGAGGGGGAUAACUACUGGAAACGGUAGCUAAUACCGCAUAAUGUCGCAAGACCAAAGUGGGGGACCUUCGGGCCUCAUGCCAUCAGAUGUGCCCAGAUGGGAUUAGCUAGUAGGUGGGGUAACGGCUCACCUAGGCGACGAUCCCUAGCUGGUCUGAGAGGAUGACCAGCCACACUGGAACUGAGACACGGUCCAGACUCCUACGGGAGGCAGCAGUGGGGAAUAUUGCACAAUGGGCGCAAGCCUGAUGCAGCCAUGCCGCGUGUGUGAAGAAGGCCUUCGGGUUGUAAAGCACUUUCAGCGGGGAGGAAGGCGGUGAGGUUAAUAACCUCAUCGAUUGACGUUACCCGCAGAAGAAGCACCGGCUAACUCCGUGCCAGCAGCCGCGGUAAUACGGAGGGUGCAAGCGUUAAUCGGAAUUACUGGGCGUAAAGCGCACGCAGGCGGUCUGUCAAGUCGGAUGUGAAAUCCCCGGGCUCAACCUGGGAACUGCAUUCGAAACUGGCAGGCUAGAGUCUUGUAGAGGGGGGGUAGAAUUCCAGGUGUAGCGGUGAAAUGCGUAGAGAUCUGGAGGAAUACCGGUGGCGAAGGCGGCCCCCUGGACAAAGACUGACGCUCAGGUGCGAAAGCGUGGGGAGCAAACAGGAUUAGAUACCCUGGUAGUCCACGCCGUAAACGAUGUCGAUUUGGAGGUUGUGCCCUUGAGGCGUGGCUUCCGGAGCUAACGCGUUAAAUCGACCGCCUGGGGAGUACGGCCGCAAGGUUAAACUCAAAUGAAUUGACGGGGGCCCGCACAAGCGGUGGAGCAUGUGGUUUAAUUCGAUGCAACGCGAAGAACCUUACCUGGUCUUGACAUCCACAGAACUUUCCAGAGAUGGAUUGGUGCCUUCGGGAACUGUGAGACAGGUGCUGCAUGGCUGUCGUCAGCUCGUGUUGUGAAAUGUUGGGUUAAGUCCCGCAACGAGCGCAACCCUUAUCCUUUGUUGCCAGCGGUUAGGCCGGGAACUCAAAGGAGACUGCCAGUGAUAAACUGGAGGAAGGUGGGGAUGACGUCAAGUCAUCAUGGCCCUUACGACCAGGGCUACACACGUGCUACAAUGGCAUAUACAAAGAGAAGCGACCUCGCGAGAGCAAGCGGACCUCAUAAAGUAUGUCGUAGUCCGGAUUGGAGUCUGCAACUCGACUCCAUGAAGUCGGAAUCGCUAGUAAUCGUAGAUCAGAAUGCUACGGUGAAUACGUUCCCGGGCCUUGUACACACCGCCCGUCACACCAUGGGAGUGGGUUGCAAAAGAAGUAGGUAGCUUAACCUUCGGGAGGGCGCUUACCACUUUGUGAUUCAUGACUGGGGUGAAGUCGUAACAAGGUAACCGUAGGGGAACCUGCGGUUGGAUCACCUCCUUACCUUAAAGAA
Molecule: ribosomal RNA, 1550 nt
Filed under: Klebsiella pneumoniae
Lineage: Bacteria; Pseudomonadati; Pseudomonadota; Gammaproteobacteria; Enterobacterales; Enterobacteriaceae
Description: bacterial SSU rRNA
Rfam family: Bacterial small subunit ribosomal RNA
Source: RNAcentral